GAUGAACGCUGGCGGCGUGCCUAAUACAUGCAAGUCGAGCGAACAGACGAGGAGCUUGCUCCUCUGACGUUAGCGGCGGACGGGUGAGUAACACGUGGAUAACCUACCUAUAAGACUGGGAUAACUUCGGGAAACCGGAGCUAAUACCGGAUAAUAUAUUGAACCGCAUGGUUCAAUAGUGAAAGACGGUUUUGCCGUCACUUAUAGAUGGAUCCGCGCCGCAUUAGCUAGUUGGUAAGGUAACGGCUUACCAAGGCAACGAUGCGUAGCCGACCUGAGAGGGUGAUCGGCCACACUGGAACUGAGACACGGUCCAGACUCCUACGGGAGGCAGCAGUAGGGAAUCUUCCGCAAUGGGCGAAAGCCUGACGGAGCAACGCCGCGUGAGUGAUGAAGGUCUUCGGAUCGUAAAACUCUGUUAUUAGGGAAGAACAAAUGUGUAAGUAACUAUGCACGUCUUGACGGUACCUAAUCAGAAAGCCACGGCUAACUACGU
This 496-nucleotide ribosomal RNA is filed under the name uncultured bacterium. RNAcentral's name for it is "partial 16S ribosomal RNA". It matches the Rfam family "Bacterial small subunit ribosomal RNA", at positions 28 to 506 of the family's 1533-position model. The record is from RNAcentral.